This 72-nucleotide transfer RNA is filed under the name Ictidomys tridecemlineatus (thirteen-lined ground squirrel). RNAcentral's name for it is "Spermophilus tridecemlineatus (thirteen-lined ground squirrel) tRNA". It matches the Rfam family "tRNA". Rfam says of the family: Transfer RNA (tRNA) molecules are approximately 80 nucleotides in length. Their secondary structure includes four short double-helical elements and three loops (D, anti-codon, and T loops). The record is from Rfam by way of RNAcentral. Lineage: Eukaryota; Metazoa; Chordata; Mammalia; Rodentia; Sciuridae.
AGAAUUGUGGCUCAGUGGUAGAGCACUUGCCUGGCAUGUGAGAGGCCCUGGGUUUGAUCCUCACCACAUAUA